CUUGGUUCUACUAUUUAAAGGGAAACAAUAUGGUAAAACAUUAUUACUCCAUAAAACAAUCAAGCGUGAUGGAGCUAUAUAUGAACAUAAAACAAGUCCGGCCGGAUAACUUGGACAAAUAUAUUUUAUAGCGUGCCAACAUCCGACAGAUAAAUAUAAUUUGAUUUGCUUUAUUUCUUCAGGACAAGUGAAAUAAUACGAAAUACACUUUACAUUUUACAUCCUUGAUAAUGGUUUUUAUUAUAACACCGAAGUCGGAAUCAAACAAUUAACCAUUUAUGUGC
This is a long non-coding RNA of Gordionus sp. m RMFG-2023, 284 nucleotides long. RefSeq lists it as uncharacterized. The record is from RefSeq and is a predicted model, not a curated record. Lineage: Eukaryota; Metazoa; Nematomorpha; Gordioida; Chordodea; Parachordodidae. The transcript is spliced from 3 exons.